GUUUUGAUCACCUUCUUUGAGGGGAGGAAGUCUGCUGGUCACAUUGUGUUUUAAGGGUACCUGGAAUUUGUUUUGGGUAUGGUAAGGCAUACAGACACAAAAAUGACUGUCAUGAAGGAAGUUUUUUCUUUUUUUUUUUUAGAAAUGGAACUUUGCUCUAACCUCUGCCUCCCAGGCUCAAGUGAUUCUCCUGCCUCAGCCUCCUGAGUAGCUGGGAUUCUGGGAUUAUAGGCAUGCGCCGCCACCACGCCUGGCUAAUUUUUUGUAUUUUUAGUAGAGAAGGGGUUUCACCAUGUUGACCAUGGCUGGUCUCGAGCUCCUGACCUCAGGUGAUCCACCCACCUUGGCCUCCCAAAGUGCUGGGAUUACAGGCAUGAGCCACCGCGCCUGGCCAGGAAGUUUUUACACAGUUCGGACCCAGUGCUUGAUGGGGAGUUUGGGUUUGGUAGCCACUUGAUACUCCUUAGUCAUGCAUUUAGCCUCUCCAGCACCCAGCAGCAAGGCAGAAGCUGUUCAAAUGGAGAAUAAUUGGCAGAAGACCAAACAGUCUUACUCUACUAAAACCCUAGAGGACUUGUGCCUUCGGAUCCUGAUUUAUUAAGUGAGAAGUCCACUAUCCUGAAGCUGCUAUGCUGGAGAGACCAUGUGAAAAGAUCAUAUAGAAGUAGAAAGAUGCCCAAGAAGCCAUAUAUGCUUCUUCCUGUAGCUGUUUCAGUCUGCCCACCCAGGGAUCGGACAUGUUAGAGAAAGAGUCUUAAAGAUUAUCCCAACCCCAGCCACCACGUGACUGCAACGUCAUGAAAACCCCACACCAGAACAGUGGUAUCAGCUCAAACUUUGCAAGGGCUAGGAGACUGAGGGCAGCUGACCAGAUUUAUGCGAUUGAGCCUAAUAAACUGGCCUGAGUAAGCUUCCCUGGUUGACAACAUUCUGCGAGUAUUAUCACACACUGGAUGUCAGGAAAUUAACACUGUCCACAACUCAUGGAAAGGACAACUGGGAGUUCUGUGUUUAGAACUUUCCUGAACUCUGCCCUAUGUACCCCUUCCCUUGGCUGAUUUUAACCUGUAUUCUUAGCUGCAAUAAACCGAACUUUCCAUGA
Long non-coding RNA from Pan troglodytes (chimpanzee), 1102 nucleotides. RefSeq lists it as uncharacterized. The transcript is spliced from 2 exons. The record is from RefSeq and is a predicted model, not a curated record. NCBI's taxonomy places the organism in Eukaryota, Metazoa, Chordata, Mammalia, Primates, Hominidae.